GAUGAACGCUGGCGGCGUGCCUAAUACAUGCAAGUCGAGCGAACGGACGAGAAGCUUGCUUCUCUGAUGUUAGCGGCGGACGGGUGAGUAACACGUGGAUAACCUACCUAUAAGACUGGGAUAACUUCGGGAAACCGGAGCUAAUACCGGAUGAUAUUUUGAACCGCAUGGUUCAAAAGUGAAAGACGGUCUUGCUGUCACUUAUAGAUGGAUCCGCGCUGCAUUAGCUAGUUGGUAAGGUAACGGCUUACCAAGGCAACGAUGCAUAGCCGACCUGAGAGGGUGAUCGGCCACACUGGAACUGAGACACGGUCCAGACUCCUACGGGAGGCAGCAGUGGGGAAUCUUCCGCAAUGGGCGAAAGCCUGACGGAGCAACCCCGCGUGAGUGAUGAAGGUCUUCGGAUCGUAAAACUCUGUUAUUAGGGAAGAACAUAUGUGUAAGUAACUGUGCACAUCUUGACGGUACCUAAUCAGAAAGCCACGGCUAACUACGUG
This 497-nucleotide ribosomal RNA is filed under the name uncultured bacterium. RNAcentral describes it as "partial 16S ribosomal RNA". It matches the Rfam family "Bacterial small subunit ribosomal RNA", at positions 28 to 507 of the family's 1533-position model. The record is from RNAcentral.